This 499-nucleotide ribosomal RNA is filed under the name uncultured bacterium. RNAcentral's name for it is "partial 16S ribosomal RNA". It matches the Rfam family "Bacterial small subunit ribosomal RNA", at positions 30 to 523 of the family's 1533-position model. The record is from RNAcentral.
AUUGAACGCUGGCGGCAGGCCUAACACAUGCAAGUCGAGCGGUAGAGAGAAGCUUGCUUCUCUUGAGAGCGGCGGACGGGUGAGUAAUGCCUAGGAAUCUGCCUGGUAGUGGGGGAUAACGUCCGGAAACGGACGCUAAUACCGCAUACGUCCUACGGGAGAAAGCAGGGGACCUUCGGGCCUUGCGCUAUCAGAUGAGCCUAGGUCGGAUUAGCUAGUUGGUGGGGUAAUGGCUCACCAAGGCGACGAUCCGUACUGGUCUGAGAGGAUGAUCAGUCACACUGGAACUGAGACACGGUCCAGACUCCUACGGGAGGCAGCAGUGGGGAAUAUUGGACAAUGGGCGAAAGCCUGAUCCAGCCAUGCCGCGUGUGUGAAGAAGGUCUUCGGAUUGUAAAGCACUUUAAGUUGGGAGGAAGGGCAGUAAAUUAAUACUUUGCUGUUUUGACGUUACCGACAGAAUAAGCACCGGCUAACUCUGUGCCAGCCGCCGCCGUAA